Molecule: ribosomal RNA, 274 nt
Filed under: uncultured bacterium
Lineage: Bacteria
Description: partial 16S ribosomal RNA
Rfam family: Bacterial small subunit ribosomal RNA
Source: RNAcentral
CUACGGAGGGUGCGAGCGUUACUCGGAGUCACUGGGCGUAAAGCGUCCGUAGGCGGUCGGGUAAGUCGGGUGUGAAAGCCCCGGGCUCAACCUGGGAAGUGCACCCGAUACUGCUCGACUCGAGUGCGGGAGAGGAUGGCGGAAUUCCCGGUGUAGCGGUGAAAUGCGUAGAGAUCGGGAGGAACACCAGUGGCGAUGGCGGCCAUCUGGCCCGCAACUGACGCUGAGGGACGAAAGCGUGGGGAGCAAACAGGAUUAGAAACCCGAGUAGUCC